RNAcentral lists this unclassified non-coding RNA (403 nucleotides) under soil metagenome. Its description in RNAcentral is "partial contains 5.8S ribosomal RNA, internal transcribed spacer 2, and large subunit ribosomal RNA". The stretch from base 1 to 120 matches the Rfam family "5.8S ribosomal RNA", at positions 35 to 154 of the family's 154-position model. The record is from RNAcentral.
GAUGAAGAACGUAGCGAAAUGCGAUAAGUAAUGUGAAUUGCAGAAUUCAGUGAAUCAUCGAAUCUUUGAACGCACCUUGCGCCCUUUGGCAUUCCGAAGGGCAUGCCUGUUUGAUUAUCAUGAACACCUCAACUCUUCAUGGUUUUCCAUGAUGAGCUUGGACUUUGGGGGUCUUGCUGGCCUGCGGUCGGCUCCUCUCAAAUGAAUCAGCUUACCAGUGUUUGGUGGGCAUCACAGGUGUGAUAACUAUCUGCGCUUGUGGUUUUCCACCAAGUAACCUUCAGCAGUGGAGGUUCACUGGAGCUCACAGACGUCUCUCCUCAGUGAGGACAGCCCUUUGAAUGUUUGAUCUCAAAUCAGGUAGGACUACCCGCUGAACUUAAGCAUAUCAAUAAGCGGAGGA